RNAcentral lists this ribosomal RNA (749 nucleotides) under Eulimnogammarus maackii. RNAcentral describes it as "bacterial SSU rRNA". It matches the Rfam family "Eukaryotic small subunit ribosomal RNA", at positions 4 to 672 of the family's 1831-position model. Lineage: Eukaryota; Metazoa; Arthropoda; Malacostraca; Amphipoda; Eulimnogammaridae. The record is from RNAcentral.
CUGGUUGAUCCUGCCAGUAGUCAUAUGCUUGUCUCAAAGAUUAAGCCAUGCAUGUCUAAGUCCAAGCUGUGUUCACACGGCGAGACCGCGGACGGCUCAUUAAAUCAGUCGUGGUCCAAAUGGGCCAGUGCAAAUCCUACUUGGAUAACUGUGGUAAUUCCAGAGCUAAUACAUGCAACUGAUAUCCCGAAGGCGGUGUUUGUGCUUGCUUGUCUUGCGCUUGCGCUGCUCUGACGGAUGCUUUUAUUAGACCAAACCGCUGAGGACUUGAGGGUUCGCGCUCUCUUGUUUGACUCGUGUGAUGGUGACUCUGGAUAACCAAUUUGACAAGCGCACGUACUUCUCUUCUGAGCGAGACGGCGCUGCCACUUUCGAGUGUCUGCCUUAUCAGCUAUCAACCGUUCGUUAUGCGCGACCGAUGGCUUUGACGGGUAACGGGGAAUCAGGGUUCGAUUCCGGAGAGGCAGCCUGAGAGACGGCUACCACGUCCAAGGACGGCAGCAGGCACGCAAAUUACCCAAUCCCAGCAAAUGGGGGAGGUAGUGACGAAAUCUAACGAUGCGGGCGCCCUUUCUGGGGCCCCGCAAUCGGAAUGGGCACUUUCUAAACAACCUGUUGAGAACCUACUGAAGGGCAAGUCUGGUGCCAGCAGCCGCGGUAAUUCCAGCUUCAGCAGCAUCUAUUAAAGUUGCUGCRGUUAAAARGCUCGYAGUUGAAUGUCUGUAUCGAGCGCAGGUCAGGUGGACGUU